RNAcentral lists this small nucleolar RNA (60 nucleotides) under Euglena gracilis. RNAcentral's name for it is "Eg-m129.2 box C/D methylation-guide". Lineage: Eukaryota; Euglenozoa; Euglenophyceae; Euglenales; Euglenaceae. The record is from RNAcentral.
CAGAGGAUGUAAACACCUCCCACCUUUGACGGAUUUGAUGCAACCCUGUUUCCACUGAUU